This 496-nucleotide ribosomal RNA is filed under the name uncultured bacterium. RNAcentral's name for it is "partial 16S ribosomal RNA". It matches the Rfam family "Bacterial small subunit ribosomal RNA", at positions 28 to 506 of the family's 1533-position model. The record is from RNAcentral.
GAUGAACGCUGGCGGCGUGCCUAAUACAUGCAAGUCGAGCGAACAGACGAGGAGCUUGCUCCUCUGACGUUAGCGGCGGACGGGUGAGUAACACGUGGAUAACCUACCUAUAAGACUGGGAUAACUUCGGGAAACCGGAGCUAAUACCGGAUAAUAUAUUGAACCGCAUGGUUCAAUAGUGAAAGACGGUUUUGCUGUCACUUAUAGAUGGAUCCGCGCCGCAUUAGCUAGUUGGUAGGGUAACGGCUUACCAAGGCAACGAUGCGUAGCCGACCUGAGAGGGUGAUCGGCCACACUGGAACUGAGACACGGUCCAGACUCCUACGGGAGGCAGCAGUAGGGAAUCUUCCGCAAUGGGCGAAAGCCUGACGGAGCAACGCCGCGUGAGUGAUGAAGGUCUUCGGAUCGUAAAACUCUGUUAUUAGGGAAGAACAAAUGUGUAAGUAACUAUGCACGUCUUGACGGUACCUAAGCAGAAAGCCACGGCUAACUACGG